CGUGACGGCGCGAGCAGGUGCGAAAGCAGGUCAUAGUGAUCCGGUGGUUCUGAAUGGAAGGGCCAUCGCUCAACGGAUAAAAGGUACUCCGGGGAUAACAGGCUGAUACCGCCCAAGAGUUCAUAUCGACGGCGGUGUUUGGCACCUCGAUGUCGGCUCAUCACAUCCUGGGGCUGAAGUAGGUCCCAAGGGUAUGGCUGUUCGCCAUUUAAAGUGGUACGCGAGCUGGGUUUAGAACGUCGUGAGACAGUUCGGUCCCUAUCUGCCGUGGGCGCUGGAGAACUGAGGGGGGCUGCUCCUAGUACGAGAGGACCGGAGUGGACGCAUCACUGGUGUUCGGGUUGUCAUGCCAAUGGCACUGCCCGGUAGCUAAAUGCGGAAGAGAUAAGUGCUGAAAGCAUCUAAGCACGAAACUUGCCCCGAGAUGAGUUCUCCCUGACUCCCUGAGAGUCCUGAAGGAACGUUGAAGACGACGACGUUGAUAGGCCGGGUGUGUAAGCGCAGCGAUGCGUUGAGCUAACCGGUAC
This 527-nucleotide ribosomal RNA is filed under the name Escherichia coli. Its description in RNAcentral is "partial 23S ribosomal RNA". It matches the Rfam family "Bacterial large subunit ribosomal RNA", at positions 2380 to 2901 of the family's 2925-position model. Lineage: Bacteria; Pseudomonadati; Pseudomonadota; Gammaproteobacteria; Enterobacterales; Enterobacteriaceae. The record is from RNAcentral.